AAGGUGAAGGGAAAAAAGAACAAACUGUGUGCGCACAUGUAUCACUCGACUUCCAAAUGGGGCCCGAUCGAGAACUUCCACAGAUUUAUACAUUCUUAACGAUUUACAACUUCUCAUCAAUACCACUUCAGAAAUUGAACUUGACAACACACGCAGUUAGGGUAUCCACAAAUUAUAACCCCUAACCUCAACAAUACAAAACCACUGCAAAGGAAACCACAAAGUGACAGCAAAGUGUUUGUCAAACUCACACUCAAGAUUCAAACAAAACUAUUCUUCUUAAAUUUACACUUCGUCACUUUGAACAAAGUCAUAUACAUUGAACUACAAAUAACAUGAAGCAAGGAAUAGAGACUCAUCAAGCUUAAUCAUUCAUUUUAGGAUAUGAUGAAUAAUAUCUUGGUAAUUUAACAACUAGUAGUAAUAUUUCAGCAAUAACUAUUUGUGAAUCAUUAUGUAGCGUACAUCAUUAGGGUAAAUAAAAUAAAUAAAAUAAUGAAAAAGUAUAAAACGGGUAUAGUUUCAGAAAUGGUACCAUGGCUGCAUCUAACAAUAACUGUCUAUUGUGCUAAUGAUUAAUACAAUAAUUAUUCAGAUUAUAUAAUGUAAAAAACAGUUAGUUAAUAAAUAACUAAGGAUCGUCAAUAAUGGAUGUAGCCACUUUCAAUAGCCAAAGAUGAAUAAUUAAAUGUAGUUCUCCGUAGUUUUUGUUUGUUUGUAGGAAACUCCCUCUUCACAGCUGUGAUGAAAAUGGCCGGCGGAGCGAGGGUAUGAAUAAAGAAGAGCUGUUCUGUUUAAAAUACAUCCUCCAGCUUUACUUUAUCUGAUCCAUUACAUAGUUUUUUUUUCACAGCCGGAUUCCUGCACACAAUGACGCAGUCACUGCACAUUACGCCGAGACUCGCUGAAAGACCGCAUUUGCAGUACCUGCCUGUACUAUGACGUCCUAAGACCCACUAUGAGCCGGUAUGAAGGAGCUUCCAGUACAACCAACCGGACCUUGCCUCAGCAUUGAGGAGUUCAGGAGACGGCAGAGAAGAAAGAGGCUGAUUGAAGCGGGACAGAUGACAUGGAUCCAUCCUUCCACAGCCAGGAGCUCAACAACCUGUGUGCCACACUUCAAAUAAGACUAGAAGCUACACUGGAUCUCACAGCUACACACCACAGACGUCUACACACCACAGACGUCUACACACUGGGGCAGAUUCAGACAGAGUCCCACAAAGAACAUAUGACCCAGAGGCUGCAAAGAGACAUUUCAAGCUUCACCUGAUUAGCUU
Molecule: long non-coding RNA, 1280 nt
Organism: Pleuronectes platessa (European plaice)
Lineage: Eukaryota; Metazoa; Chordata; Actinopteri; Pleuronectiformes; Pleuronectidae
Exons: 3
Source: RefSeq, a predicted model, not a curated record